Molecule: ribosomal RNA, 496 nt
Filed under: uncultured bacterium
Lineage: Bacteria
Description: partial 16S ribosomal RNA
Rfam family: Bacterial small subunit ribosomal RNA
Source: RNAcentral
GAUGAACGCUGGCGGCGUGCCUAAUACAUGCAAGUCGAGCGAACAGACGAGGAGCUUGCUCCUCUGACGUUAGCAGCGGACGGGUGAGUAACACGUGGAUAACCUACCUAUAAGACUGGGAUAACUUCGGGAAACCGGAGCUAAUACCGGAUAAUAUAUUGAACCGCAUGGUUCAAUAGUGAAAGACGGUUUUGCUGUCACUUAUAGAUGGAUCCGCGCCGCAUUAGCUAGUUGGUAAGGUAACGGCUUACCAAGGCAACGAUGCGUAGCCGACCUGAGAGGGUGAUCGGCCACACUGGAACUGAGACACGGUCCAGACUCCUACGGGAGGCAGCAGUAGGGAAUCUUCCGCAAUGGGCGAAAGCCUGACGGAGCAACGCCGCGUGAGUGAUGAAGGUCUUCGGAUCGUAAAACUCUGUUAUUAGGGAAGAACAAAUGUGUAAGUAACUAUGCACGUCUUGACGGUACCUAAUCAGAAAGCCACGGCCAACUACGU